CCUACGGGAGGCAGCAGUGAGGAAUAUUGGUCAAUGGACGAGAGUCUGAACCAGCCAAGUAGCGUGAAGGAUGACUGCCCUAUGGGUUGUAAACUUCUUUUAUAUGGGAAUAAACUGUUCCACGUGUGGGAUUUUGUAUGUACCAUAUGAAUAAGGAUCGGCUAACUCCGUGCCAGCAGCCGCGGUAAUACGGAGGAUCCGAGCGUUAUCCGGAUUUAUUGGGUUUAAAGGGAGCGUAGGUGGAUUGUUAAGCCAGUUGUGAAAGUUUGCGGCUCAACCGUAAAAUUGCAGUUGAAACUGGGAGUCUUGAGUACGGUAGAGGUGGACGGAAUUCGUGGUGUAGCGGUGAAAUGCUUAGAUAUCACGAAGAACUCCGAUUGCGAAGGCAGCUCACUGGACUGCAACUGACACUGAGGCUCGAAAGUGUGGGUAUCAAACAGGAUUAGAUACCCGGGUAGUC
Molecule: ribosomal RNA, 460 nt
Filed under: uncultured bacterium
Lineage: Bacteria
Description: partial 16S ribosomal RNA
Rfam family: Bacterial small subunit ribosomal RNA
Source: RNAcentral